GCGGACGGGUGAGUUACACGUGGGUAACCUGCCCUUUAGUGGGGGAUAACAUUUGGAAACAGAUGCUAAUACCGCAUAAAUCCAAGAACCGCAUGGUUCUUGGCUGAAAGAUGGCGUAAGCUAUCGCUUUUGGAUGGACCCGCGGCGUAUUAGCUAGUUGGUGAGGUAACGGCUCACCAAGGCAAUGAUACGUAGCCGAACUGAGAGGUUGAUCGGCCACAUUGGGACUGAGACACGGCCCAAACUCCUACGGGAGGCAGCAGUAGGGAAUCUUCCACAAUGGACGCAAGUCUGAUGGAGCAACGCCGCGUGAGUGAAGAAGGCUUUCGGGUCGUAAAACUCUGUUGUUGGAGAAGAAUGGUCGGCAGAGUAACUGUUGUCGGCGUGACGGUAUCCAACCAGAAAGCCACGGCUAACUACGUGCCAGCAGCCGCGGUAAUACGUAGGUGGCAAGCGUUAUCCGGAUUUAUUGGGCGUAAAGCGAGCGCAGGCGGUUUUUUAAGUCUGAUGUGAAAGCCCUCGGCUUAACCGAGGAAGUGCAUCGGAAACUGGGAAACUUGAGUGCAGAAGAGGACAGUGGAACUCCAUGUGUAGCGGUGAAAUGCGUAGAUAUAUGGAAGAACACCAGUGGCGAAGGCGGCUGUCUGGUCUGUAACUGACGCUGAGGCUCGAAAGCAUGGGUAGCGAACAGGAUUAGAUACCCUGGUAGUCCAUGCCGUAAACGAUGAAUGCUAGGUGUUGGAGGGUUUCCGCCCUUCAGUGCCGCAGCUAACGCAUUAAGCAUUCCGCCUGGGGAGUACGACCGCAAGGUUGAAACUCAAAGGAAUUGACGGGGGCCCGCACAAGCGGUGGAGCAUGUGGUUUAAUUCGAAGCAACGCGAAGAACCUUACCAGGUCUUGACAUCUUUUGAUCACCUGAGAGAUCAGGUUUCCCCUUCGGGGGCAAAAUGACAGGUGGUGCAUGGUUGUCGUCAGCUCGUGUCGUGAGAUGUUGGGUUAAGUCCCGCAACGAGCGCAACCCUUAUGACUAGUUGCCAGCAUUUAGUUGGGCACUCUAGUAAGACUGCCGGUGACAAACCGGAGGAAGGUGGGGAUGACGUCAAAUCAUCAUGCCCCUUAUGACCUGGGCUACACACGUGCUACAAUGGAUGGUACAACGAGUUGCGAGACCGCGAGGUCAAGCUAAUCUCUUAAAGCCAUUCUCAGUUCGGACUGUAGGCUGCAACUCGCCUACACGAAGUCGGAAUCGCUAGUAAUCGCGGAUCAGCACGCCGCGGUGAAUACGUUCCCGGGCCUUGUACAGACCGCCCGUCACACCAUGAG
RNAcentral lists this ribosomal RNA (1323 nucleotides) under Lacticaseibacillus rhamnosus. RNAcentral describes it as "bacterial SSU rRNA". It matches the Rfam family "Bacterial small subunit ribosomal RNA", at positions 98 to 1408 of the family's 1533-position model. The record is from RNAcentral. Lineage: Bacteria; Bacillati; Bacillota; Bacilli; Lactobacillales; Lactobacillaceae.